RNAcentral lists this ribosomal RNA (756 nucleotides) under uncultured bacterium. RNAcentral describes it as "bacterial SSU rRNA". It matches the Rfam family "Bacterial small subunit ribosomal RNA", at positions 59 to 815 of the family's 1533-position model. The record is from RNAcentral.
CAGUCGAACGAAGCACCUUGAUUUGAUUCUUCGGAUGAAGAUCCUGGUGACUGCGUGGCGGACGGGUGAGUAACGCGUGGGUAACCUGCCUCAUACAGGGGGAUAACAGUUAGAAAUGACUGCUAAUACCGCAUAAGACCACAGCACCGCAUGGUGCAGGGGUAAAAACUCCGGUGGUAUGAGAUGGACCCGCGUCUGAUUAGGUAGUUGGUGGGGUAACGGCCUACCAAGCCGACGAUCAGUAGCCGACCUGAGAGGGUGACCGGCCACAUUGGGACUGAGACACGGCCCAAACUCCUACGGGAGGCAGCAGUGGGGAAUAUUGCACAAUGGGGGAAACCCUGAUGCAGCGACGCCGCGUGAGCGAUGAAGUAUUUCGGUAUGUAAAGCUCUAUCAGCAGGGAAGAAAAUGACGGUACCUGACUAAGAAGCACCGGCUAAAUACGUGCCAGCAGCCGCGGUAAUACGUAUGGUGCAAGCGUUAUCCGGAUUUACUGGGUGUAAAGGGAGCGUAGACGGAGUGGCAAGUCUGAUGUGAAAACCCGGGGCUCAACCCCGGGACUGCAUUGGAAACUGUCAAUCUGGAGUACCGGAGAGGUAAGCGGAAUUCCUAGUGUAGCGGUGAAAUGCGUAGAUAUUAGGAGGAACACCAGUGGCGAAGGCGGCUUACUGGACGGUAACUGACGUUGAGGCUCGAAAGCGUGGGGAGCAAACAGGAUUAGAUACCCUGGUAGUCCACGCCGUAAACGAUGACUA